RNAcentral lists this ribosomal RNA (271 nucleotides) under uncultured archaeon. RNAcentral describes it as "partial 16S ribosomal RNA". It matches the Rfam family "Archaeal small subunit ribosomal RNA", at positions 477 to 747 of the family's 1478-position model. The record is from RNAcentral.
CAGCGCCACGAGUGGUAACCGCGAUUAUUGGGCCUAAAGCGUCCGUAGCCGGCCUUAUAAAUCCUUUGUGAAAUUGUGCGGCUUAACCGUACAACGUGCAAGGGACACUGUAAGGCUCGAGACCGGGAGGAGUCAGAAGUAUUCCAGAGGGAGCGGUAAAAUGUUUUAAUCUCUGGAGGACUACCUAUGGCGAAGGCAUCUGACCAGAACGGAUCUGACGGUGAGGGACGAAAGCCAGGGGAGCGAACCGGAUUAGAUACCCGAGUAGUCC